CAAUAGCGUAUAUUAAAGUUGUUGCAGUUAAAAAGCUCGUAGUUGGAUUUCUGGUCGGAAGCUCCUGUCCUCUGAUGAGCGUACAAGUGCGUCCUACCAUCCUUCUGUUAACCUUUAAGGCUUUCGCGGCUUUCUAGGGGCUCAGAUAUUUUACCUUGAGAAAAUUAGAGUGUUUCAGGCAGGCUAGCGCCGGAAUACAUUAGCAUGGAAUAAUGGAAUAGGACUUUUGCCUCUUCUGUUGGUCAUGAGGCUCGAGUAAUGAUUAAUAGGGAUAGUUGGGGCAUUAGUACUUAACUGUCAGAGGUGAAAUUCUCGGAUUCGUUAAAGACUAACUUAUGCGAANGNAUUUGCNAAGGAUGUUUNCAUUA
Molecule: ribosomal RNA, 368 nt
Filed under: uncultured eukaryote
Lineage: Eukaryota
Description: partial 18S ribosomal RNA
Rfam family: Eukaryotic small subunit ribosomal RNA
Source: RNAcentral